CGCGUAGGCGGUUGGAUAAGUCAGCUGUGAAAACCACGAGCUCAACUUGUGGCCUGCAGUUGAGACUGUCUGGCUAGAGUGUGGGAGAGGGAAGUGGAAUUCCUGGUGUAGCGGUGAAAUGCGUAGAUAUCAGGAGGAACACCGGUGGCGAAGGCGGCUUCCUGGACCACAACUGACGCUGAGGCGCGAAAGCUAGGGGAGCAAACAGGAUUAGAUACCCUGGUAGUCCUAGCUGUAAACGAUGGAUACUUGCUGUGGGGGGUGUUAAAUCCCCCUGUGGCGAAGCUAACGCAUUAAGUAUCCCGCCUGGGGAGUACGGUCGCAAGGCUGAA
Molecule: ribosomal RNA, 332 nt
Filed under: uncultured Acidobacteriaceae bacterium
Lineage: Bacteria; Pseudomonadati; Acidobacteriota; Terriglobia; Terriglobales; Acidobacteriaceae
Description: bacterial SSU rRNA
Rfam family: Bacterial small subunit ribosomal RNA
Source: RNAcentral